This 253-nucleotide ribosomal RNA is filed under the name uncultured bacterium. RNAcentral describes it as "partial 16S ribosomal RNA". It matches the Rfam family "Bacterial small subunit ribosomal RNA", at positions 524 to 776 of the family's 1533-position model. The record is from RNAcentral.
UACGAGGGGGGCUAGCGUUGCUCGGAAUUACUGGGCGUAAAGGGCGCGUAGGUGGCCAACUAAGUCAGACGUGAAAUCCCUCGGCUUAACCGGGGAACUGCGUCUGAUACUGGAUGGCUUGAGUUUGGGAGAGGGAUGCGGAAUUCCAGGUGUAGCGGUGAAAUGCGUAGAUAUCUGGAGGAACACCGGUGGCGAAGGCGGCAGCCUGGCCCAACACUGACGCUGAGGAGCGAAAGCCAGGGGAGCAAACGGG